This 28-nucleotide non-coding RNA is filed under the name Bombyx mori (domestic silkworm). Lineage: Eukaryota; Metazoa; Arthropoda; Insecta; Lepidoptera; Bombycidae. The record is from RNAcentral.
UAUCGGCAAACGGUGGUUGUGGUAUCGC